Molecule: unclassified non-coding RNA, 400 nt
Filed under: soil metagenome
Description: partial contains 5.8S ribosomal RNA, internal transcribed spacer 2, and large subunit ribosomal RNA
Rfam family: 5.8S ribosomal RNA (bases 1-122)
Source: RNAcentral
GAUGAAGAACGCAGCGAAAUGCGAUACUUGGUGUGAAUUGCAGAAUCCCGUGAACCAUCGAGUCUUUGAACGCAAGUUGCGCCUCAAGCCAUUAGGUUGAGGGCACGUCUGCCUGGGCGUCACAUAUCGUUGCCUGAUGCCAGUUUCCUCGUGAUGGGUGACUGUGCAGGGCGAAUGAUGGCUUCCCGUGAGCAUUGUUGCCUCAUGGUUGGUUGAAAAUUGAGUCCUUGGUAGGGAGCGCCGUGAUAGAUGGUGGUUGAGUGACAAACGAGACCCAAUCAUGUGAGACCCCUACCGAAUUUGGCCUUCAUGAACCACAUGCGUCUUUGGAACGCUCAUGACGAGACCUCAGGUCAGGCGGGGCUACCCGCUGAGUUUAAGCAUAUCAAUAAGCUGAGGA